This 673-nucleotide ribosomal RNA is filed under the name Scolopterus sp. NZAC 03037661. RNAcentral describes it as "partial large subunit ribosomal RNA". It matches the Rfam family "Eukaryotic large subunit ribosomal RNA", at positions 351 to 790 of the family's 3401-position model. The record is from RNAcentral. Lineage: Eukaryota; Metazoa; Arthropoda; Insecta; Coleoptera; Curculionidae.
CCGUGAGGGAAAGUUGAAAAGCACUUUGAAGAGAGAGUUCAAGAGUACGUGAAACCGUUUAGGGGUAAACCUGAGAAGCCCGAAAGGUCGAAGGGAGAAAUUCAUUCGCGUUUCGUCGCUGGCGUCAGGCGGUCGUGUGACGGGGAGCGUUUCGGCGUUUUCCGCACCUUCAGUCUUUCGAACCGGCGGCGUACGCGUGCACUUUUCUCCUGGUAGGACGUCGCGAUCCGUUGGGCGUCGGUCUACGGCUCGCGGUGGAGCCCGUUCGUCGAUUCGUCGUACGAACGGACCCGCGUGUCCCGGCUGACUCGCUCGACGGUAUACGAAAGGUUUAAGGCCGCUCUUGGAGCGUUCGGCUCGCGGCAAGCGCGCCAGUUGCGUCGGCGAUCGGACCUAGUGCCGAUUCUGACCUCUGGUGACUGUUGGCCGUGAAGUUCUCGAACAGACCUUAGGACCGAUCUGCGACGCUAUAGCUUUGGGUACUUUCAGGACCCGUCUUGAAACACGGACCAAGGAGUCUAGCAUGUGCGCGAGUCAUUGGGAAUCACUAAACCUAAAGGCGCAAUGAAAGUAAAGGUCUUCCUAGCGAAGACUGAGGGAAGACGAGCGGUUCACCCUUAAAAGUGGCCGCUCCGCACUCCCGGGGCGUCUCGUUCUCAUCGCGAGAAGAGGC